CUCCAACCCCUGUGACAUACCUAUACGUUGCCUCGGCGGAUCAGCCCGCGCCCCGUAAAAAGGGACGGCCCGCCCGAGGACCCCUAAACUCUGUUUUUAGUGGAACUUCUGAGUAAAACAAACAAAUAAAUCAAAACUUUCAACAACGGAUCUCUUGGUUCUGGCAUCGAUGAAGAACGCAGCAAAAUGCGAUAAGUAAUGUGAAUUGCAGAAUUCAGUGAAUCAUCGAAUCUUUGAACGCACAUUGCGCCCGCCAGUAUUCUGGCGGGCAUGCCUGUUCGAGCGUCAUUUCAACCCUCAAGCUCAGCUUGGUGUUGGGACUCGCGGUAACCCGCGUUCCCCAAAUCGAUUGGCGGUCACGUCGAGCUUCCAUAGCGUAGUAAUCAUACACCUCGUUACUGGUAAUCGUCGCGGCCACGCCGUAAAACCCCAACUUCUGAAUGUUGACCUCGGAUCAGGUAGGAAUACCCGCUGAACUUAAGCAUAUCAAUAAGCGGAGGA
This 501-nucleotide ribosomal RNA is filed under the name Fusarium chlamydosporum. Its description in RNAcentral is "eukaryotic LSU rRNA". The stretch from base 135 to 288 matches the Rfam family "5.8S ribosomal RNA". The record is from RNAcentral. Lineage: Eukaryota; Fungi; Ascomycota; Sordariomycetes; Hypocreales; Nectriaceae.